Molecule: ribosomal RNA, 254 nt
Filed under: uncultured bacterium
Lineage: Bacteria
Description: partial 16S ribosomal RNA
Rfam family: Bacterial small subunit ribosomal RNA
Source: RNAcentral
UACGGGGGGAGCAAGCGUUGUUCGGAUUUACUGGGCGUAAAGGGCGCGUAGGCGGCCACUGCAAGUCGGUUGUGAAAUCUCCGGGCUUAACCCGGAAAGGUCAAUCGAUACUGCAGGGCUAGAGUGCAGAAGGGGCAACUGGAAUUCUCGGUGUAGCGGUGAAAUGCGUAGAUAUCGGGAGGAACACCUGCGGCGAAGGCGGGUUGCUGGGCUGACACUGACGCUGAGGCGCGAAAGCUAGGGGAGCGAACGGG